RNAcentral lists this unclassified non-coding RNA (377 nucleotides) under uncultured bacterium. Its description in RNAcentral is "contains 16S-23S intergenic spacer region". The record is from RNAcentral.
UCCCCGUUAUCCUGGGCAGUCCUUCCAGAGUUCCCACCCUAAGUGUUGGCAACUAAUGAUAAGGGUUGCGCUCGUUGCUGGACUUAACCAAACACCUCACGGCACGAGCUGACGACAGCCAUGCAGCACCUGUGCAGAUGCCCCGAAGGGACUCUUCAUCUCUGAAGUUGUCAUCUGCAUGUCAAGCCUGGGUAAGGUUCUUCGCGUUGCAUCGAAUUAAACCACACGCUCCGCUGCUUGUGCGGGCCCCCGUCAAUUCCUUUGAGUUUCAGCCUUGCGGCCGUACUCCCCAGGCGGGGUACUUAUUGCGUUAGCGACGGCACCGAAGGGGUCGCUCCCCCCGGCGCCUAGUACCCAUCGUUUACGGCGUGGACUAC